This 704-nucleotide ribosomal RNA is filed under the name uncultured bacterium. Its description in RNAcentral is "bacterial SSU rRNA". It matches the Rfam family "Bacterial small subunit ribosomal RNA", at positions 54 to 748 of the family's 1533-position model. The record is from RNAcentral.
CAUGCAAGUCGAACGGCAGCGCGGGAGCAAUCCUGGCGGCGAGUGGCGAACGGGUGAGUAAUACAUCGGAACGUGCCCAAUCGUGGGGGAUAACGCAGCGAAAGCUGUGCUAAUACCGCAUACGAUCUAAGGAUGAAAGCCGGGGACCGCAAGGCCUGGCGCUGAUAGAUGAGCCCAAGUCGGAUUAGCUAGUUGGUAGGGUAACGGCCUACCAAGGCGACGAUCCGUAACUGGUCUGAGAGGACGACCAGUCACACCGGAACUGAGACACGGUCCGGACUCCUACGGGAGGCAGCAGUGGGGAAUAUUGGACAAUGGGGGCAACCUUGAUCCAGCGACGCCGCGUGGGUGAAGAAGGCCUGCGGGUUGUAAAGCCCUUUCGGUGGGGAAGAAAAGUCUCGGCCUAAUACGCUGGGACCUUGACGUAACCCACUAAAGAAGCACCGGCUAACUCUGUGCCAGCAGCCGCGGUAAUACAGAGGGUGCGAGCGUUAAUCGGAAUUACUGGGCGUAAAGCGCGCGUAGGCGGCUUUUCAAGUCGGAUGUGAAAAUCCCCGGGCUUAACCUGGGAACUGCAUUCAAGACUGUCUAGCUAGAGUAUGGGAGANGGAANUGGAAUUUCAGGGUGUUACCGUGAAAUGCCUAGAUAUCCUGANGGACAUCAGUGGCGGAAUGCGAUUUCUCUGGACAAUAACUGAAGGCUA